GCCGCUACUCGGAGCAUUUUAAAAGACAUGGCUGUCUUAAAAACUCAAAAUGAGGCCAUUUUGAACCUCUUAGGUAGUAACCGUGAGUGCGAGAUGGAUGAGCAGCCUGUACAGACAUACCCGCUAAGGACAGUUGAUGAAAUUGACCAUCUGGAACGUAACUUGAAAAGCUCCAGCAGCACGCGCAGGCAACUGUGCAAAGUCCUAGGUCACAUUGGCGGCAACACAGUGCGCUCAACAACAGCAAACAUCUUGAAAUAUUUACUUCACGAUUCCGUCGCUGUCAUGUACAGUCUCCAUGGGCAAAAAGGAAAAAGAGCCUUGGGUGAGACGGAGUUGUGCCGCAUAAUUCUGGAGUCUGUACGAAAAAAUGCAGCAACAGCAUCUGCUUCAGACGCAGAGAUCCGUACAGGCAUGAUGGGAUGGCUAAAGAAUGCGCAAGCCCGUCUUGAUGCAGCCAUG
This is a non-coding RNA of Dermacentor albipictus, 462 nucleotides long. NCBI's taxonomy places the organism in Eukaryota, Metazoa, Arthropoda, Arachnida, Ixodida, Ixodidae. The record is from RefSeq and is a predicted model, not a curated record.